RNAcentral lists this ribosomal RNA (406 nucleotides) under uncultured Glomeromycotina. RNAcentral's name for it is "SSU rRNA". It matches the Rfam family "Eukaryotic small subunit ribosomal RNA", at positions 569 to 977 of the family's 1831-position model. The record is from RNAcentral. Lineage: Eukaryota; Fungi; Glomeromycota.
AGCAGCCGCGGUAAUUCCAGCUCCAAUAGCGUAUAUUAAAGUUGUUGCAGUUAGAAAGCUCGUAGUUGAAUUUCGGGGUUAGUAGGUUGGUCAUGCCUCUGGUAUGUACUGGUCUCACUGAUUCCUCCUUCCUGAUGAACCUUAAUGCCAUUAAUUUGGUGUUGCAGGGAAUCUGGACUGUUACUUUGAAAAAAUUAGAGUGUUUAAAGCAGGCUAACGCUUGAAUACAUUAGCAUGGAAUAAUGAAAUAGGACGUUCGAUCCUAUUUUGUUGGUUUCUAGGAUUGACGUAAUGAUUAAUAGGGAUAGGUUGGGGGCAUUAGUAUUCAAUUGUCAGAGGUGAAAUUCUUGGAUUUUAUUGAAGACUAACUACUGCGAAAGCAUUUGCCAAGGAUGUUUUCAUUAAU